CCGAAGCGCCCGUCCCAACGGGGCGGGAGGGCAAUGUGGUGUUUAGGAAUAGCGCGACCGAAGGUUGAUCUAAGCGCAAGUCCUCCUGACUGAGGCUCUCGCCCAUUGAGGGUGCAAGGCCCGUGGUCGCUUAUGAUCUCCGGCGGAAGCAAAAUUCCUUGGAGUCGGGUUGCUUGAGAGUGCAGCCCUAAGUGGGUGGUAAACUCCAUCUAAGGCUAAAUACGACCACGAAACCGAUAGCGAACAAGUACCGUGAGGGAAAGUUGAAAAGAACUUUGAAGAGAGAGUUCAAGAGUGCGUGAAACCGUUUAGAGGUAAACGGGUGGGCCCUCGAAGGUGAUCGUCGGAGGGAUUCAGUCGGACGUGACCGUAAGCGUCGUUCGUCUCUAACGGUGCGGACCUCGGUCGGCCGGGCGGGCGAAGGCUGCGGGCCGUUUGGCGCAUUUCCUUCCGUUCGAACUACGCUGCGACCAGUCUGGUCACUGAAAGUUGUCGUCCUUGAAAACGGGCGAUGGAAGGUGGCCGGCGGCGUCUCUCGGGAUGCCGUCGGUGUUUAUAGCCGGUUCGUUUCACGAGUGAGCGUUCAUCAGACUGGGGACGAUUCUAGCCCUGUGCGGGCUACGCCGAGCACUCCGUUUGGAGCGUUGCGGGACGACUGGAUGCGCCUGCGGUCGGUGGUUUCACCUUUGUGUGGGCUAACGCCGUAGGUCUCCGUAAGCUCGUUCCGUACGUCUUGAAACACGGACCAAGGAGUCUAACAUGUGCGCGAGUCAUUGGGUCUUGAAUAGGCCCAAAGGCGUAAUGAAAGUGAAGGGCGGUUCGGCCGUCUGCCUUGGGAUCCGGUGAACCUCGCGUUCGCCGGCGCACCAAGGGCCCGUCCCGGUCGCCUCGUCGACGGGGCGGAGCAAGAGCGUACACGUUGGGACCCGAAAGAUGGUGAACUAUGCCUGGGCAGGACGAAGCCAGAGGAAACUCUGGUGGAGGUCCGCAGCGAUUCUGACGUGCAAAUCGGCUCAUGAGAUCCCAUGGAAAGGUGUUGGUUGCUAUAGACAGCAGGACGGUGGCCAUGGAAGUCGGAAUCCGCUAAGGAGUGUGUAACAACUCACCUGCCGAAGCAACUAGCCCUGAAAAUGGAUGGCGCUUCAGCGUCGACCCCAUACCCGGCCGCCGCGGCCGAAAAGCCUCGUGUUUUAAGCCGCGGUGAGUAGGAGGGGCGCGGAGGCGAGCGUCGAAGGUGCCGGGCGUAAGCCCGCCUGGAGCCGCCUCCGGCGCAGAUCUUGGUGGUAGUAGCAAAUACUCAAGUGAGAACCUUGAGGACUGAGGUGGAGAAGGGUUCCAUGUGAACAGCAGUUGAACAUGGGUCAGUCGGUCCUAAGGGAUAGGAGAAAUCCGUUCCGAGGCGGGACCUAAUUUAUUAUGAAAGUCCCGCUGAUGACCGAAAGGGAAUCGGGUUAAUAUUCCCGAACCCGGACGCGGAGAUCGUCCUCUUCGGAGGUACAUUGCGGUAACGCAAACGAGCUCGGAGACGUCGACGGGAGCACCGGGAAGAGUUAUCUUUUCUUUGUAAGGAUUCGACUCCCUGGAAUCGGCUCGCCCGGAGAUAGGGAUGGUGUUUCCGUAAAGCACCGCGCCUCUUGCGGUGUCCGGAUCGCUCCCGUCGGCCCUUGAAAAUCCGAGUGAGAGAUAGUGAUUUUCGUGCCGGACCGU
This 1707-nucleotide ribosomal RNA is filed under the name Forsteropsalis nigra. RNAcentral's name for it is "eukaryotic LSU rRNA". It matches the Rfam family "Eukaryotic large subunit ribosomal RNA", at positions 114 to 1845 of the family's 3401-position model. Lineage: Eukaryota; Metazoa; Arthropoda; Arachnida; Opiliones; Neopilionidae. The record is from RNAcentral.